RNAcentral lists this non-coding RNA (26 nucleotides) under Cricetulus griseus (Chinese hamster). The record is from RNAcentral. Lineage: Eukaryota; Metazoa; Chordata; Mammalia; Rodentia; Cricetidae.
GAAUAUUCGUUGAAUAGAACUGGCAU